Long non-coding RNA from Macrosteles quadrilineatus (aster leafhopper), 414 nucleotides. RefSeq lists it as uncharacterized. The transcript is spliced from 3 exons. The record is from RefSeq and is a predicted model, not a curated record. NCBI's taxonomy places the organism in Eukaryota, Metazoa, Arthropoda, Insecta, Hemiptera, Cicadellidae.
CUGGUAUUGUUGCUUAAAUUGUAUCUUGCCUUGGACAAAUAUUUUAACUUUGUUGUGGUUAUCUGAUAUUUUGGUUAUUUAACAUUACUAGUGAGGAUACAUUAAUAAAUAGUUAUUCUUGGUCAACGUUUAAGUUCAGCUUUCUCUUUGGGCCAGUUAUUUGAAACACCAGCGAGGAAAAUACAUCUGGGAUCCAAUAGAUGGAAACUCUAUGACAGAGUCAGCGAGCAUCAGUGGCAGAGGUUUACAGCUGAGUCAAAGGCAGAGGUCUACGACAGAGGUCUACGGCGGAGGUCUACGGUUGCACACCUGAAGUUAAGCAGCUCACGAGCCGAAGGACUGAUGGUUGCCCCUCUCCUCCUCCUCUACUAGCAUUAAGUAUUUAGUUGUAGGAUUAUGUAUAUAUAUAAGUAG